This 498-nucleotide ribosomal RNA is filed under the name uncultured Glomeromycotina. RNAcentral describes it as "partial small subunit ribosomal RNA". It matches the Rfam family "Eukaryotic small subunit ribosomal RNA", at positions 591 to 1092 of the family's 1831-position model. The record is from RNAcentral. Lineage: Eukaryota; Fungi; Glomeromycota.
CCAAUAGCGUAUAUUAAAGUUGUUGCAGUUAAAAAGCUCGUGGUUGAAUUUUAGGCCUGGCCAGGCGGUCCGUCUUUGGCGAGUACUGUCUUGUUGUCGGGUCUUCCUUCUGGUGAACCAGUAUGUCCUUUAUUGGGUGUGUUGGGGAGCCAGGACCAUUACCUUGAAAAAAUUAGAGUGUUUAAAGCGGGCUAUUUCUUGAAUAGAUUAGCAUGGAAUAAUAGAAUUGGACGUUGUGGUUCUAUUUUGUUGGUUUCUAGGACCACCGUAAUGAUUAAUAGGGAUAGUUGGGGGCAUUAGUAUUCAAUUGUCAGAGGUGAAAUUCUUGGAUUUAUUGAAGACUAACUAUUGCGAAAGCAUUUGCCAAGGAUGUUUUCAUUAAUCAAGAACGAAAGUUAGGGGAUCGAAGACGAUCAGAUACCGUCGUAGUCUUAACCAUAAACUAUGCCGACUAGGAAUCGGGCGACGUUAUUUUAAUGACUCGCUCGGCGCCUUAUG